UGUUAAUUUCUUCCUCUCUUUGUCUAGAACAGAGAGAAAGAUCAAGAGAGACAAGCGGAGAGUGAGAUGCUGAGAUAGAGGGAGAAGCUGAGAAACAAACUAAAAUAGCUAUUGCUGGAUACUGUUUCCUCAGGUCAUUGUUUGUAAGGAAAAUUUCCACGGGAUUUCUGGCAUGUCUUUCUUCACGCACUUUUGAUCCCCCAGAAACGUGAUGACUUGAUUUGGUCAUAUCAUGAAAUGUUGGAGAGGCCAAAUAAAGAUGGUUUUUGUUUGCUGUAAAUGAUCCCGUGUUGAUUUAUUUUGUGAGGACAUGGUUUAAACCUUCAUGACAGAGAAUGAAUUGGAGUUGGAUUUCAAGAGCAUAUUGGGACAAAGUUCCGGUCAUCCAGCUCGGAAAAAGGUUAUUGCUUGUCAAUAUGUUUGUUUGCUUAUACUUCUGCUACUCUUCUAUGUACAAUCUUUCUAGCCAUGAAUCGAAAUCAUUAAUUAAUGGCUUUUUCGUAAUCCAUGGAGAAAGAAGCGGCCUUGAAUUUGGCUGUAGAUUUUUUUGUUUUGUAAAUCAGUGAAGCAACGUACUAAUGUAGCUUAGUUACAUACCAUGUAUGUACAAAGUUCCUCCUUAUCCAAUUUGUUGUGACUCAGCAU
Corylus avellana is the source of this 645-nucleotide long non-coding RNA. RefSeq lists it as uncharacterized. The record is from RefSeq and is a predicted model, not a curated record. NCBI's taxonomy places the organism in Eukaryota, Viridiplantae, Streptophyta, Magnoliopsida, Fagales, Betulaceae.